AAUGGAUCCGUAACUUCG
Molecule: small nuclear RNA, 18 nt
Filed under: Arabidopsis thaliana (thale cress)
Lineage: Eukaryota; Viridiplantae; Streptophyta; Magnoliopsida; Brassicales; Brassicaceae
Description: snRNA_13456
Source: RNAcentral